This 24-nucleotide microRNA is filed under the name Solanum tuberosum (potato). Its description in RNAcentral is "stu-miR5303j". Lineage: Eukaryota; Viridiplantae; Streptophyta; Magnoliopsida; Solanales; Solanaceae. The record is from miRBase by way of RNAcentral.
AAUAUUUUUGAAGAGUCUGAGCAA